AGCUCCCCGAGUGGUAAGGACGAUUAUUGGGCCUAAAGCGUCCGUAGCUGGCUUGAUAAGUUUCCCGUUAAAUCCGACGAUCCAAUCGUCGGGCUGCGGGAAAUACUGUUAAGCUAGGAGGCGGGAGAGGCCGGCGGUACUUUUGGGGUAGGGGUGAAAUCCUAUAAUCCCAAGAGGACCACCAGUGGCGAAGGCGACCGGCCAGAACGCACUCGACGGUGAGGGACGAAAGCUGGGGGAGCAAACCGGAUUAGAUACCCGAGUAGUCC
Molecule: ribosomal RNA, 269 nt
Filed under: uncultured archaeon
Lineage: Archaea
Description: partial 16S ribosomal RNA
Rfam family: Archaeal small subunit ribosomal RNA
Source: RNAcentral